CGGAAAUAUGCUGACUUCGAUUGGCAAGAUGAUAGAACCCAACAAUGUCGUUUACAGGUUCCGAUUAAAUUUCACAUAACAGCCGGCCGCGGCGCGGAUUUUCAAUGCUUUUUCUUGGCCGCGAGAGGUCAAUGACGGGAUGAUGAGCCCUGCGAUGAAACGCAGUUGAUCACACAUACGCAGACACUGUGCAUAAACCUGUAGAUGUGCGCGCCUCUACUCUGGUUAAUUUCAAGAACUCUCUCGUUUGCGUUCGUCGUAUGCGCGUGCAACCGUGGGUGUCGUUGCUGCUGAUGGACGCUGCCUGCCAGACGCGUUGUCGCCAAUACACCAGUGAUAGGUCGCCGGAGAGAUGAUAACCUAGAGAGAACCUGAGCUCGUGGACCGACCUGAACUGCUUCGAGGACGUCGAGAAUGUGUCAGCUGCCUCUUCUUUGGCUUUGAGCAUUUUCCUCGACGAUUGGAUCACUUUGUAUUUGUCAUAUGUAGAUCUGCGCAGAUGUACCGAGUGGCAGCGCCCUCGUGCGAUCGUCCUAUUACUUGCAGUGGCCUGUCUAAUCGAACGAUUAGCAGCUUGUUGGUGGCCAUACCGUUAUCAAUGUUGUUCGUAAGAAGGCUGCGUAUUUGAAACCGAAAUCGAUAUACUGCCGCUGCCAGUGAAAGCUACGUCGUGGAGAGGCGGUCUUCAAAGAAGGACGAACGCAGCGAGGCAGAGUACUCGUACCGGUGUGACGUUACAUUGCAAAGCUAUGCUAACAAAAUGCAGGCUAAGAGUGCACAGUUGAUUCAGAGGGCGGGUAGGCAUUCGUAAGGACGGCCGACUGCUCUUUCUACGCGGAGAAACGGAUAUAUAUAUGUAAACAUAUAGACAUAUAUGACGGAAGCUAGAUGCGAAAGAUCAUGUGCACUAUUGCGAAACGUUGUCCGUGCCCACGGUGAGAUAAUGAAUAAACGAAAAUGUGAAAGUAGAAGAAAGAAGAAGAGCAAAAGGAGUUUUCCGGGAAUGAAAGGACACGCAACCGGCGCUGCUACUGCUGCUUUCGAGGAAAACCAGCCAAAUUUGGACAGGGGCUGUUUCAGAAUAACCGAUUCUCUUAUAUGCCGGGCCUUUUUUCUGCUCUGCGGCAAAGAAAACCGCAUUUAUAUAACUCUUGGCGCGCUACUAUAGGAGCUCAUCUCACACUGCCAACGCUUCGUUAUUGAAUAUCGACUUUGACAAACGUACUAAAAGGCACCAUUUGUAAGGCAGCGCUUUAUUUAUUACAUAUUGGCUUUAUAUACGCGCUAUAUACUGUUUGAAGUGCGCAGAGACAGUUAUGUUUUUAGUGCUGUACCGUUUCGUUCAAAUACAGAAUAUCCCAAGAUGUAAACACUGUUUAGCGGCCUGUAGGUUUCUGAUUGUUCUAUUUUUUGUGGGAAGAAAAGUAAACCAAUAUUGUCUUACAAAGAACAGCUGUUAUUUCAAGAUGUAUUUCGAAGUGUAUUGCAACAAGUCGACUUACAAAAGAAGUAUCUUUUGAACGAAUGGAAUUAUUUGGGAAGGUCAACGGUUUCAGAAGCUAAGAAACAGUGCCGCAAAAUUACCCGGAAAUCGAUCAAGUUUUAAGCUUGACAUCAGUAAAUCAAGUGUCAGAAAGUGGAAGAACCAUAGUCAUGCGGCUCUAUCAGCGAAGAUGAUUUCGAAUAAAAAAAAAAGAAACAAUUUUCCAAAUGGGCAAUGGAAAGGGAUGCGCCGUUGUCGAGGAAGACUCUUCGGAGUGAUGAUGCUACAUCGGAACUAAACGGUAUAAUUAAUUGGGCCUUCUGAGCAAUCGAAUAAGAUGAUCCGGACUGAAAAGAGAUACUCUGCGUACGGAACUUAAACGCAUUUGAAUAACGCAUUUGAACUUAAACGCAAUUUUUGAAGCUAUGAAAUUGAAUUGCGCUACAAUCGGAUGUGGUUGCACGUCCAAGAAAUUAUUACAUGUAGACAUUAGAAAAACACCGUGUGGACUUGCCAUGAGCCAUACCGUAGCACGGCAUCUCAUGCAAAAGAUUAAUUUGCCCCUUUUUUUUGUCGAUUGUUUGUCAUUAUUGCGAACAUAUAUUUCAUUACGCAUUCGGUAAGGUCUUGACGAAAAUAGCAGAUUCUAUUGCCCAUAGCACAGAACACCUGCACCUUAUCAUCGUGACAUGAUCAAAGUGUU
Molecule: long non-coding RNA, 2186 nt
Organism: Varroa destructor (honeybee mite)
Lineage: Eukaryota; Metazoa; Arthropoda; Arachnida; Mesostigmata; Varroidae
Source: RefSeq, a predicted model, not a curated record